Long non-coding RNA from Drosophila mauritiana, 256 nucleotides. RefSeq lists it as uncharacterized. The transcript has 3 exons. NCBI's taxonomy places the organism in Eukaryota, Metazoa, Arthropoda, Insecta, Diptera, Drosophilidae. The record is from RefSeq and is a predicted model, not a curated record.
AGUGUCCUGAUCGACGCGGAAGCAGCGUUGUUGGCCCAUCUUUUGUAGGGCAUCAAUUAUGUAGAUUUCAGCGGUGAUAAUGGAUACUUCAAAGGACCGUGCGGCGUGAAAUUUCAGGCCUUGGUUGGCUUUUUUUUCCGUAUCCUUUCUCAGGAUCAGUUGGAGUGCAUUGUCGUUGGCUUUAUAAUCCGGAUGCGUUGAGGAUUUUACGUUUAGCAUGAGAAGAGGAAAUGUAUCAUUGUUGUCAAGAGAGAAG